RNAcentral lists this long non-coding RNA (1468 nucleotides) under Gossypium barbadense (sea-island cotton). Its description in RNAcentral is "long non-coding RNA (GBAR_LNC017383)". Lineage: Eukaryota; Viridiplantae; Streptophyta; Magnoliopsida; Malvales; Malvaceae. The record is from RNAcentral.
AUAUAUAUAUAUCAUUACGUCUUAUCAAAUUCAUAUACCAAGCAUACCCCACGCCUUUACUAUGACCAAAAUUACUUAAACCUUGGAUCAUUAGCAUUAGAUCAAGCCAUUUUCGCAUGGCUAAAUAUAUAUACAAAAACUAAAUUAAAACUAGCCUAUACAUGCCACAUAACCAAAAACUCAAAGCUUUAAUUUACCGAAGCCAUAACCGGAUAGUGUGAUCACGACUCCAACGUCUUCCAACCCGAGCAAGUCUUUAGAACUCUAAAAACAUAAGAAAAACACACAGAGUAAGCUAUUACAGCUUAGUAAGUCAUAAGCAAAUAGAUAACUUAACAACAUUUAAUUAGUUACAACAAAAUCAAAUCAUGUUUUCAAUAUUCAUAUACAUUUCCAUAAUCGAAAAAUACAUUUAUCAAACACGUACUAUACAUCAAAUCCAUAUUUAACCAAAUACAAAUAAGUUUAACAUUUGGCCGAAUAUAUAUAUGUAUAUAUAAUGUCAUUCACAUGUGCAGCUCUCAUUUUUUUUACCUCAUUAUUACAUAUCAAAUUUUGAUCGAAUAUAAACUACAUUAUCAACUCAUUUUUUUUAACCAAAUUAAAUUAUACUAGCAUAAUCACAUUUAACCUCAAGCUUAACGUUUCAUAUAAAACAUGUGUUUUCUUAAGUAAAUCUUAUCUUAACCGAAUGUAUAUGUAUAUAUAUUCAAAGUGUCAAUCAAUUCAAAGAUAUAAUAUCAUUAUAUAUCCGAAAAUAUAUUUACACAUAUACAUAAAAUUUUAAAUCAAAAUAUAACAUCAUAUGCAUAUACAUAACAUAUGGCCGAAUAUACUCCACCAAUGUACAUAUGUUCACAUUAGUAACUUAUAUAAUUUGUAUCACAUACCAACUGGCCAACUUACCUUAUUUUUAAAUAGGUAGUCAACUAACUCAUACCUGAUCGUUUUAGCUCGUUUUACACCUUCGAUCACAACUUAUCAUUGCCCGUUGAACCAUUCGAAAUUUAAUAGGAUACUCAGAUAAUCACAUAUAUCAAACAAUGCCAACGUCCCAGACGUGGUCUUACAUGCUAUCUCAUAUCGAUGCCACUAUCCCAAACAGGGUCUUACACGAAUCAAAUACGAUGCCAAUGUCCUAGACAUGGUCUUACACAUAAACACAAGUCGACGCCGACGUCCCAGACGUGGUCUUACACGAAAACACAUAUCAGAGUCCUAUGUCACGACAUAAGUAUCCUAUCUAUUCCUAGGGUUCGUACGAGGCUUUUAGGAAUUGAUUAUCAAUCGAAUCAAACUCGAAAUAAAAUCCCUAUCUCGAUAAUCACAUUCAGCCAAAGCAUAUAACAAAUAAAAUAAUUUAAUUUAUCACUUAUCAUUUAUAUAUUCUUGAAUUUAACAACAUUUAAAUGCUUAUCGACUUACCUCGGAUAUCGACGGACAUAGUCGACUACUCGACUGCUUUCGA